RNAcentral lists this ribosomal RNA (486 nucleotides) under uncultured bacterium. Its description in RNAcentral is "partial 16S ribosomal RNA". It matches the Rfam family "Bacterial small subunit ribosomal RNA", at positions 30 to 507 of the family's 1533-position model. The record is from RNAcentral.
AUUGAACGCUGGCGGCAUGCCUUACACAUGCAAGUCGAACGGCAGCACGGGUGCUUGCACCUGGUGGCGAGUGGCGAACGGGUGAGUAAUACAUCGGAACAUGUCCUGUAGUGGGGGAUAGCCCGGCGAAAGCCGGAUUAAUACCGCAUACGAUCUACGGAUGAAAGCGGGGGACCUUCGGGCCUCGCGCUAUAGGGUUGGCCGAUGGCUGAUUAGCUAGUUGGUGGGGUAAAGGCCUACCAAGGCGACGAUCAGUAGCUGAUCUGAGAGGACGACCAGCCACACUGGGACUGAGACACGGACCAGGCUCCUACGGGAGGCAGCAGUGGGGAAUUUUGGACAGUGGGCGAAAGCCUGAUCCAGCAAUGCCGCGUGUGUGAAGAAGGCCUUCGGGUUGUAAAGCACUUUUGUCCGGAAAGAAAUCCUUGGCCCUAAUACGGUCGGGGGAUGACGGUACCGGAAGAAUAAGCACCGGCUAACUACGUG